RNAcentral lists this transfer RNA (90 nucleotides) under Bacillota bacterium. RNAcentral describes it as "Firmicutes bacterium (anaerobic digester metagenome) tRNA-Ser". It matches the Rfam family "tRNA". Rfam says of the family: Transfer RNA (tRNA) molecules are approximately 80 nucleotides in length. Their secondary structure includes four short double-helical elements and three loops (D, anti-codon, and T loops). Lineage: Bacteria; Bacillati; Bacillota. The record is from RNAcentral. RNAcentral also lists the same sequence under 1 other name.
GGAGGAGUCUCGUAGUGGACUAGCGAGCACGCCUGGAGAGCGUGUAGGGGUGUACGCCCCUCGUGGGUUCGAAUCCCACCUCCUCCGCCA